This 319-nucleotide long non-coding RNA is filed under the name Carica papaya (papaya). RNAcentral describes it as "long non-coding RNA (CPAP_LNC015359)". The record is from RNAcentral. Lineage: Eukaryota; Viridiplantae; Streptophyta; Magnoliopsida; Brassicales; Caricaceae.
UGCGGUAUAGAAAUUACAUGCUAUGUUAUUUAAGCAUGCUUAUUUCUAACUGGUCCUAUCUUAACUUUGGUGAGAUUACCUACAAAAAAACUCAGAGAUAAUAUGUAACAUAGAAACCAAAACAUAAUAAUUGAAAUGAAACCAUAUAACCAUAAACCAAAACCAAAGUACAAAGUUUAUGACAUGUUUUAUAAAAUAAAUACAACUAUGGUACAAGACUCCCACUGAACCUAUACAUCAUCUAAGGAUACAGCACCCAUAUGAGCAGUGUGCUCAUGAAAGACCUUAGGUGGUAAUCCCUUAGUGAGUGGAUUUGUAA